Molecule: transfer RNA, 77 nt
Filed under: Deltaproteobacteria bacterium
Lineage: Bacteria; Pseudomonadati; Myxococcota; Myxococcia
Description: tRNA-Met
Rfam family: tRNA
About the family: Transfer RNA (tRNA) molecules are approximately 80 nucleotides in length. Their secondary structure includes four short double-helical elements and three loops (D, anti-codon, and T loops). Further hydrogen bonds mediate the characteristic L-shaped molecular structure. tRNAs have two regions of fundamental functional importance: the anti-codon, which is responsible for specific mRNA codon recognition, and the 3' end, to which the tRNAs corresponding amino acid is attached (by aminoacyl-tRNA synthetases). tRNAs cope with the degeneracy of the genetic code in two manners: having more than one tRNA (with a specific anti-codon) for a particular amino acid; and 'wobble' base-pairing, i.e. permitting non-standard base-pairing at the 3rd anti-codon position.
Source: RNAcentral
UGCGGGGUGGAGCAGUCAGGUAGCUCGUCGGGCUCAUAACCCGAAGGUCUUUGGUUCGAAUCCAAACCCCGCUACCA